Molecule: non-coding RNA, 496 nt
Organism: Arachis ipaensis
Lineage: Eukaryota; Viridiplantae; Streptophyta; Magnoliopsida; Fabales; Fabaceae
Source: RefSeq, a predicted model, not a curated record
GAAACAGCUUUUCAAGUUUUGUUUUCAGUUUGAAUGUGUUGAUAAGAGAAGAGAAAAUGGAGAGUUUGGUGAUGAAUAGGAAGAAGCUUUGUGUAAUGGUGUUAUGUUUGUGCUGGGUUCAUGUAGUGACAGCUUCUAUUACAUAACAUCACAAAGUAAUUGUUGUUAAUGGGCAGAGAAAGAUUUUGUUUUCUGGUUCUAUACACUACCCCAGAAGCACACCUCAGAUAUGGUCAGAGCUUAUUCAAAAAGCUAAAGAGGGAGAGUUGGAUGUUAUUCAAACCUAUGUGUUUUGGAAUGGCCAUGAACCUUCUCCAGGAAAAUAUUAUUUUGAGGAUAGGUACAAACUUAGUUAAGUUCAUCAAGGUAACUUUGCAGCCAUCUUGAAGGCAAUGCAUUCUUUUAGUGCUGAAUCAGAAAAGGAGUUGAGCUUUUCAAAGGGUGAUUUCAUUGUUGUGCGAAAGGUUUGUUUUCUCAGUUAAUGUCAAUGUACUGU